This is a long non-coding RNA of Sapajus apella (tufted capuchin), 930 nucleotides long. RefSeq lists it as uncharacterized. The record is from RefSeq and is a predicted model, not a curated record. Lineage: Eukaryota; Metazoa; Chordata; Mammalia; Primates; Cebidae. The transcript has 3 exons.
CUCAAAGUGCUGGGAUUACAGGUGUGAGCCACUGUGUCCAUACUCAACAUCUUUGAUUACUUCCUAAAGGUAGAUUCCAAGAAAUUAGGUUACUGGUCCCACAGAUAGUCAGAGGGGCUAUAGGCAAUAACAUUGUUAACCCCAAGGUUCUAGACCUGUCAGCAAACAAGCUCAGCUGAUGAGAUCAGGAGGUAUCCAUGCAAGAGUUUUGAAAGAACCCAAAGAUGAAAGUGCUGAAAGAAUCAUGAAAUGUAAUGAUUUAUGAUUACAAAGAGACACGGUGCUUAAAAACACCACAAAUUAAAAAUUAGCUGCCCUGAGCAAAUAAAAGUUCGCGAAGGGCACCCUAGAAAUUAUGGGCUCCUAAGUUUGACUUUCGUGUUGUGCAAGCUAGUGGGGUCAAUGCUGAAGGGAAGCGUUCCUCUAGUAUGUCAUGCCGUGUUGCAGAAACCAUGCAUGAAGGACCUUAAGGUAUGCUUCCUUGCAUGGAAAAGCGAGCUGUGAACUGUCGUUAAAGGUUUCUUCCCAUCCUGGUCCCGAAAGACCAUAAAGUUUCACUGGAGAAUCACCUCCCUACUACAUUUUGAAGGCAGCCAUGACUUUAUCCAGCACUAGGUGAUGACUUUCCUUGGAACUGGUAUAUCGUGAAAUCCUACCAUCAUUUUAAUUAGCAUGGGAAAUGUUGGAGCACCAUACACAAACAAAUUCCUUUCUUGGCUUCUUGGUUGCCCUUCAUAUGCAAAAUCCAUGUUUUUUUCCCCCUAGCUUCUGUCACAGGAUCCUUGGGGUGUAAUUUUUCUGGCCAGAAACCUCUGUGGCCAGUAGUGCCUUUGCUGGAGUUUUGCUUGGGCCCUCUGGGCUCAUUCUGCCCACUCAGUUUGGCAGGCUGCUCUUGGUUCGUGCCACCAGUCUUCAUCCCAUACUUAGAGG